GAGUUUGAUCCUGGCUCAGAUUGAACGCUGGCGGCAUGCCUUACACAUGCAAGUCGAACGGCAGCACGGGAGCUUGCUCCUGGUGGCGAGUGGCGAACGGGUGAGUAAUGCAUCGGAACGUAUCCUGGAGUGGGGGAUAACGUAGCGAAAGUUACGCUAAUACCGCAUAUUCUGUGAGCAGGAAAGCGGGGGACCUUCGGGCCUCGCGCUCUUGGAGCGGCCGAUGUCGGAUUAGCUAGUUGGUGAGGUAAAGGCUCACCAAGGCGACGAUCCGUAGCAGGUCUGAGAGGAUGAUCUGCCACACUGGAACUGAGACACGGUCCAGACUCCUACGGGAGGCGAGCAGUGGGAAUUUUGGACAAUGGGGGCAACCCUGAUCCAGCCAUGCCGCGUGAGUGAAGAAGGCCUCGG
Molecule: ribosomal RNA, 411 nt
Filed under: bacterium enrichment culture clone ALO1_GLFRUDD03GHGK8
Lineage: Bacteria
Description: bacterial SSU rRNA
Rfam family: Bacterial small subunit ribosomal RNA
Source: RNAcentral